AAUCCGCGGUACACCGCAUGACAAU
RNAcentral lists this small nuclear RNA (25 nucleotides) under Arabidopsis thaliana (thale cress). RNAcentral describes it as "snRNA_06994". Lineage: Eukaryota; Viridiplantae; Streptophyta; Magnoliopsida; Brassicales; Brassicaceae. The record is from RNAcentral.